RNAcentral lists this ribosomal RNA (97 nucleotides) under uncultured bacterium. RNAcentral describes it as "partial 16S ribosomal RNA". The record is from RNAcentral.
CACCGCCCGUCACACCAUGGGAGUUUGUUGCACCAGAAGCAGGUAGCUUAACCGCAAGGGGAGCGCUUGCCCACGGUGUGGCCGAUGACUGGGGGUG